UGCUGCAACAAGUGGUACUAGAUCUUUAAUAGAAGCAAUUUUUGUUAGGAGUGAUGCGGUAGGAAUUGACGGAAUCAAUAACUGGAUCAUCAUUCUCAACACCGACAUUGUUAGUUACUACAUAGACAUCUACAUCGUCCAAGUCACAAAAAACUAUUUCAUCCUCCUUUUUCUUGUAAUCUUGGCUAUCCUCCAAAUAUUUUUCCCAUCAAGUCUUUAAU
Molecule: long non-coding RNA, 221 nt
Filed under: Elaeis guineensis (African oil palm)
Lineage: Eukaryota; Viridiplantae; Streptophyta; Magnoliopsida; Arecales; Arecaceae
Description: long non-coding RNA (EGUI_LNC021262)
Source: RNAcentral